This 434-nucleotide ribosomal RNA is filed under the name uncultured Oscillospiraceae bacterium. RNAcentral describes it as "partial 16S ribosomal RNA". It matches the Rfam family "Bacterial small subunit ribosomal RNA", at positions 341 to 792 of the family's 1533-position model. Lineage: Bacteria; Bacillati; Bacillota; Clostridia; Eubacteriales; Oscillospiraceae. The record is from RNAcentral.
ACGGAAGGCAGCAGUGGGGAAUAUUGGUCAAUGGGGGAAACCCUGAACCAGCAACGCCGCGUGAAGGAAGAAGGCUUUCGGGUUGUAAACUUCUUUGACCAGGGACGAUAGUGACGGUACCUGGAAAACAAGCUCCGGCUAACUACGUGCCAGCAGCCGCGGUAAUACGUAGGGAGCGAGCGUUGUCCGGAUUUACUGGGUGUAAAGGGCGCGUAGGCGGGAAUGCAAGUCAGAUGUGAAAUCUAUGGGCUUAACCCAUAAACUGCAUUUGAAACUGUAUUUCUUGAGUGAUGGAGAGGCAGGCGGAAUUCCUCGUGUAGCGGUGAAAUGCGUAGAUAUGAGGAGGAACACCAGUGGCGAAGGCGGCCUGCUGGACAUUAACUGACGCUGAGGCGCGAAAGCGUGGGGAGCAAACAGGAUUAGAUACCCUGGUA